CAUAUAUACACCAUAUAUAUACACCGUGGUGUAUAUAUAUAUAUACACCAUAUUUAUACUAUAUAUAUAUAUACACACCAUAUAUAUAUAUACACCAUAUAUACACCAUAUAUAUACACCAUAUAUAUAUAUAUAUACACCAUAUAUAUACACACCAUAUAUAUACACACCAUAUAUAUACACCAUAUAUAUAUACACACACACCAUAUAUACACCAUAUAUAUAUAUAUACACCAUAUAUAUACACACCAUAUAUAUAUAUACGUCCUCCAACCGAGACCGUCAUGGCGGGCGAAUGCAGGACAGAAGGCCACCCGUCCCCUGAGCGUCACACAUCCCCACCGUUCCUGUCCCGCUCACCCGCAUCCUUCCGCGCUCGUGCCGAGACGAGGCUGCCCGGGACCACCCAGCCCACGGGGCACCCGGGUUUCUUCCUCACGUCUCCUGUGGAAAACACGGUGGGACACAGCGAUGGUAGUCACCAAUUCCAUUUCUACAACUAUUCGGUUAUUUAUUCCACUUCUGCAACUAUUCAGUUAUUUAUUCCAUUUAUACAACUACUUAGUCAUUGGAAGAACUAAAUAUGGAGGGGGAAAAAAACAGAAAAACAGCAGAAAUGUUAGGUAAGGGCAUUACAAUGCUAGGGUCAAGAGUGCCCCCCCCCGCCAUCAUUCACAUCCACCCGGAACCUCAGAAUCUGCCCUGAUUUGGAAAUGAAAUCUUUGCACAUUGGGAACAUCCUACAACACACCCUGUCUAUGCAGCAAGGGGAGCUGUUUGGGGCGAGGGAUGAAGACCUCCCCGGUGGGGCCUGGUGGUUGACUCCUUGACGUUGAAAUAGGACGAUUCCGAUGCGGGUGGUUCCCAAGAUGAACCCGGAGGGCAAGGAGCCAUUUUCAAGCCAUCUCGGACCCUCCCGUCCAGGUGGCGGUCUGCUGGUGAAUUGUCCUCCCACCAGUUCACGCCCCCAGUUGACCCAUCUCUGGUCAUAGUCGGAGAAGCAUAAGCACCAAGUGCGUUCUUGUCGCCCACGCGCCAACGGGAUCAUUUCAGCAGACACCGACAGACUUCAUGGAGACAGCGGGUGGCUAUAGAAUGUCGGAGCAACCAACUGUAGAUCCUGCACACCCGACAUGAUUAAUGGCGGAGGAAGUCUUUGCAGAGACAAAUGGGGUCGUUUCCCCAGAAGACAGGCCAUCUGGCUGCCUUUGGAACCAACAAAAACAAGAAUCGUCCCCGGCGCUCUGUGUCUUGGUCAUCUGGGGCUCCCAUCAUCUUUAGGGGACAUUUGGUCCCGUCCAGAACGUCCAUGAGACGCUUGGUCCAUGAUAUAUCUGGUCUACACCAAAGGUCCUUGAAAUCUGGUCCAGUCCAGAGCGUCCAUGAGACGCUUGGUCCAUGAUAUAUCUGGUCUACACCAAAGGUCGUUGAAAUCUGGUCCCGUCCAGAAGGUCCAUAAGACACUCGGUCCAUGAUCUAUUGGGUCUACACCAAAGGUCCUUGAAAUUGGUCCUGUCCACAUUUGAUCCACAUCAAUAGGUCCUUCGUAUCUGGUCAUACUUGGUUCUGUCCAAAACGUCUAUGGAGACAUUUGUUCUGCCCCAAAAGGUCCUUCGUAUUUCGUGCUCCUCUAAGACCAUUUGGCGUGGACUGAAUACUCUCAUGGCCUGCGCUCACUGCCUCCCGUCUCUGCAAACGCUCCCUCCUUCCUCGUGUCGUCUUCCACCAUCUUGUCUCCACAAGUCGCUGCCCGUCUUCCCGAGGGCAAAUUCUUGUCAAGAUUAUGACUCCUCCCUUCAGGUCCAAACUCCAAUUAAAACGACCGGCUGUUCAAACAGGGGGAAAUUAGUGUCCACCCUGAAAAGCAGCUUGGGGUGGCGCUCCGAUACCCAAAACGUGGAAGGGUGUUAGCUGGACGUGGCUCAGCAUAAAACAGAGCAAAACACAAACCAGAGUUAUCGAAAAAGGAAGAACAGAUUUUAGUUAAAAAAAAAAAAUAUAUAUAUAUAUAUAUAUAUGAUACAUAAGAUUUCCAAGAUUCAGAGGAAAUUGGAACAUUGGAUUCUAAGAAAUGAGCAAACUGACAUAAUGGUCUGCACAAAAUAGAAAAAAAAUACCAUGACUGCUGAGUUAAAAAUAUCGAUGUGGGCAGUUUGCACUCUGAGAAAUCAAAUUUUGGGAAAACAGAAAACCGACAAUGAGAGAAUGUUUCCGGCAUGCAGAGGAAAGCAUAAAACGCUGGGGGGAAAGCAAAAUAAGAGGAAAAUAGCGAUAUUGAGAUAAUUUCCGAAAUCCAACUUGUGAGAAGGAGCAUUUUCUCCCAAGGAAUUUGGGAUCGAGGGGUCGGAAGCGAUCAUUAUAGAAAUUGCAGAAGAUGAGUAUGGUCAGACGUAAAAACUGAAAAGUGACGAUACGCGGAGUUCUCAGUGAAAACUGGAAAGAGAACCAGUUCUGGACAUAUGGUGGUGGCAUUUGUCCAAAAAAAAAAAGAUAAAAUAAAAUUCCACAAAUAUUCACUCUGUUUCACUCCAUCAUCGUGCAGGGCUGGAAAGUCACCUGGCAGAUGGGAAACCGAUUUCUACGUAAACGAGUGAAUAUUGCCCGGAAAUAGAUUUCUCCCCUAAAUCAGGCUGUUUUGGGCACGGUCUCGAUUCUCGCCUCCAGAGCCAUCAGACGAUGUCAAGAGGCUUUCUUCUUAAUCCAGACGUCAAAAAACAUCAAAAAAAAAAAAAAAAAACAAGAGUGAGACAUUAUAAUUCUCAAAUAUUUUAGCUAAACUCAGGGGGCACCCGGCUCAAACCCGUGUUCGGAUCCAUCGAGCCGUGUGGGACAGGAACCAAUACCCUUAACGGGGAUUUUCUGACUUUGGGACCAAACGGUUUGCGUAUUCCUUCUCUGAGGGACGAAAACGAGAUUAGUCGAUCGAAAUCUGUUCGAUUUGGUGCUCCUCCGAGCGUGGGAAACGCCGUUCCACGACAAAAUUUAGAAUAUGGGAAGUCUUUUUAAGAAUUAGACUAUUUGCUAAAAAUCCCUUUACCUGGCGCGUGCCACCAAAAAUUGUGCUUCUUCGAGAAAGAGGCCCGAGGCGAGCGAUGGUGGGAACCCGGCGUCCGCGACUCGGCUGAAAUGUCUCAUCUUUUGUGAUUUCAGAAAUUUCAGCGUCGUCCCUUUACCUCAUGGAGGACCCUACUCAGUAGUUAGAAAGCGGAACUGUGAUCAAGACGAGUGGGAGGAGGAGGAGGAGGAGGAGUUGUAGGAGUAAUAGCAGGAGUAGUAAUUGCCAUUGGAGUAUCUAGUAGUUGUAGGAGUAGUAAUAGUAGGAGUAGUAACUGUCAUUGUGGUAGCUAGUAGGAGUAGGAGUAGGAGUAGUAAUAGUAGGAGUAGUNNNNNNNNNNNNNNNNNNNNA
Equus caballus (horse) is the source of this 3406-nucleotide long non-coding RNA. NCBI's taxonomy places the organism in Eukaryota, Metazoa, Chordata, Mammalia, Perissodactyla, Equidae. The record is from Ensembl.